RNAcentral lists this ribosomal RNA (1385 nucleotides) under uncultured bacterium. RNAcentral describes it as "bacterial SSU rRNA". It matches the Rfam family "Bacterial small subunit ribosomal RNA". The record is from RNAcentral.
GAAUUCGCCCUUAGAGUUUGAUCCUGGCUCAGGACGAACGCUGGCGGCGCGCCUAACACAUGCAAGUCGAACGAGCGAGAGAGAGCUUGCUUUCUCGAGCGAGUGGCGAACGGGUGAGUAACGCGUGAGGAACCUGCCUCAAAGAGGGGGACAACAGUUGGAAACGACUGCUAAUACCGCAUAAGCCCACAGGUCGGCAUCGACCAGAGGGAAAAGGAGCAAUCCGCUUUGAGAUGGCCUCGCGUCCGAUUAGCUAGUUGGUGAGGUAACGGCCCACCAAGGCAACGAUCGGUAGCCGGACUGAGAGGUUGAACGGCCACAUUGGGACUGAGACACGGCCCAGACUCCUACGGGAGGCAGCAGUGGGGAAUAUUGCACAAUGGGGGAAACCCUGAUGCAGCGACGCCGCGUGGAGGAAGAAGGUCUUCGGAUUGUAAACUCCUGUUGUUGAGGAAGAUAAUGACGGUACUCAACAAGGAAGUGACGGCUAACUACGUGCCAGCAGCCGCGGUAAAACGUAGGUCACAAGCGUUGUCCGGAAUUACUGGGUGUAAAGGGAGCGCAGGCGGGAAGACAAGUUGGAAGUGAAAUCUAUGGGCUCAACCCCAUAAACUGCUUUCAAAAACUGUUUUUCUUGAGUAGUGCAGAGGUAGGCGGAAUUCCCGGUGUAGCGGUGGGAAUGCGUAGAUAUCGGGAGGAACACCAGUGGCGAAGGCGGCCUACUGGGCACCAACUGACGCUGAGGCUCGAAAGUGUGGGUAGCAAACAGGAUUAGAUACCCUGGUAGUCCACACCGUAAACGAUGAUUACUAGGUGUUGGAGGAUUGACCCCUUCAGUGCCGCAGUUAACACAAUAAGUAAUCCACCUGGGGAGUACGACCGCAAGGUUGAAACUCAAAGGAAUUGACGGGGGCCCGCACAAGCAGUGGAGUAUGUGGUUUAAUUCGACGCAACGCGAAGAACCUUACCAAGUCUUGACAUCCUGCGACGCACAUAGAAAUAUGUGUUUCCUUCGGGACGCAGAGACAGGUGGUGCAUGGUUGUCGUCAGCUCGUGUCGUGAGAUGUUGGGUUAAGUCCCGCAACGAGCGCAACCCUUACUGUCAGUUACUACGCAAGAGGACUCUGGCAGGACUGCCGUUGACAAAACGGAGGAAGGUGGGGAUGACGUCAAAUCAUCAUGCCCUUUAUGACUUGGGCUACACACGUACUACAAUGGCGUUAAACAAAGAGAAGCAAGACCGCGAGGUGGAGCAAAACUCAGAAACAACGUCCCAGUUCGGACUGCAGGCUGCAACUCGCCUGCACGAAGUCGGAAUUGCUAGUAAUCGUGGAUCAGCAUGCCACGGUGAAUACGUUCCCGGGCCUUGUACACACCGCCCGUCA